AAUGAACGCUGGCGGCAUGCCUAACACAUGCAAGUCGAACGACAGCACAGUAAGAGCUUGCUCUUACGGGUGGCGAGUGGCGGACGGGUGACGAAUGCAUCGGAUUCUUCUUUGACGGGGGUGAUAACGUAGGAAAACUUCUGCUAACACCGCAUAUGUCCUACGGGUUAGAGCAGGGGUUCUUCUGACUUUUCGCGAGUGUAAUAGCCGAUGUCGGAUUAGAUAGUUGGCUGGGUAAAGGCCCACCAAGGCGACGAUCCGUAGCUGGUCUGAGAGGAUGAUCAGCCACUCUGGAACGAGGACACGGUCCAGACUCGUACGGGAGGCAGAGGUGGGAAACAUUGGACAGGGGGCGGAAGCGUGUUCCAGACAUACGGCGUGGGUGAAGAAGGCCUUCGGGUUGUAAAGCCUGUUUGUUGGGAAAGAAAAACGGCAGGUUAACACGGCGCUGUUUGAACGGUCCCCAAAAAAUAGGCACGGCUAACUUUGUG
Molecule: ribosomal RNA, 491 nt
Filed under: uncultured bacterium
Lineage: Bacteria
Description: partial 16S ribosomal RNA
Rfam family: Bacterial small subunit ribosomal RNA
Source: RNAcentral